CCGGCAGAGCUGGAGGGAGCCCUCGAGACCCAGCGGCCAUGCAUUUCCCACCGCCCUCCGUCACCUACCCCAUUUGGGAUUCAGAGCUGUGUUUCAUCCCUGGGGGGAGGUGGGCACUCUUUGUGCGGAUCCAGCUUCCAGAGCCUCGCCUCCAGGCCCCCAUCUCGGCUGCCUCCUGGGUCCUCUCCCCUCGCCACUGACGGCGGAGCAGGAGACGCGCUGGGGGCUGCCUCUCCUGCGUCUGUCCUGCAGCGCAGCCCGCUGCUGCCCUGAGUCCGGAGCCUGGAGCGGUUUCCUCCCCUCCUCCGGCUGCUUGUCUCAGGUCCCCCAUGUGCGAACCCUGCCUCCUGUGUUGGCAGCUGCUCUGAGGAACUCCCAGGCUGUCUGGCCGGGGGUCAAGUUCGGAUGACGGACAGUCCCUCCUGGAAGGCCGCUCGCCUACUCUCGGGUCCCGUAGCUUCGCCGUCAGUCGCGUGGCUGUGAUCGCUGCGCCUGGUGAACGCACCCCCGGAGCCGUUCUCAGUGUCCGUGGCCUGUCUGUGGCUUCUCCACACUAGAGUUUCUGCCAAAACCAGCGAGGCUCUUGGUGCCUCUCUGCUCUCCCCACCCCAACAGGGAGCACUGGGAACUCCCCGCGAGACGGCCUCCCUGGCCCCCCGUUCUUCUGGGGUCCCUUUUUCUGGGUUUGACACCGGCCCAGGAGGUGUGCUCUAAGCCGCUGGUGGGCCCACCCUCUUUCUCCACAGCCCUGCUCCUUAGCCCAGUCCCUGGGAGGCCACAGGCCUUCCGUGUGAAUUCUGUGACUCUCCACCUGGACAGUCCUGCCGCCCUCUCCCCACCUCCGUCGCUGCUGCUGGUUGUUUUCUGUGAAAACGGCAAUGAGUGGACUCAGUCUUGAACUGGCCCUGAGGACUGGUCAGGAGUUGUGUGGACAAGAGGGAGGGUGAGAGCCGCUGGAGAACUGAAAAUGAAUUUUGUUUCUUUUUAAAGUUUUUUACAUUAGUAAUAAAUGCAGUGGAAACAAACAAACAAACAAGUUCAAAGUCCAGAGAGAGCAAGUGACUGGUGCAGUUUCAAUUGGUCUAGAUUAGAUGAUUCAUCACCAUCAUCCUGGUUCAACAGAACUGUUUUACUAGACACUCCUCUGGGUGGCACAUGGCUAGGAUGAUGAACCAGGGGGCAAGGCACCUAUCUAUAAGGAGUCAUUGCGGAUCACUUCAGGGACCACUUCAAGAUGUUUGGCCAGUGCAGUACCUUGCACAACCUAUCUCCCAGGCACAGAGCAUCCUCCUUUUUGUCCCUGCAAUUCUAGGAAUCCAAGGGAAGUGAGAUGGCCUGUGGAAACUCUGGGAAUCUGGCUUUUCUUGGAAAGUUGGAUUUCUCUCAACACUGCCCCAUCAUCCCUGAUGAAGCAACAAUUGUCUGGAACAAUUUAAAGAGGAAUCCAAGAGAUGUGAGAUAACCUAUGGAAACUGGGGAUCCCUCCUGUUUGGUAUUGGGGACGAACCUGCAGUCUGAGAGAGUGGAAAGAAGGGAGGGGUGCCUCCUGCAUGCACCCUGCAUUCACUCCUACCAGGAGUGGGGAGCGAACCUGCAACCUUUCGGUGUGAAGGCUGACAUUCUAACCAUUGAGAAACACUGGCCAAGGCUAUACCUCACCACGAGCCAUUGCUUCAACUACCACCUCCAAGCUGAGGGCAGCACCUGAAUUUCUGUGGGCCACUCUGCAUGCACCUGGAGGUAAGGGAAUCAAGACUGCUCCUGAGAGUUGAACUGGAUAAAUCCCUACACUGCAGAUGUGAUCAGCCUUUCACUCAUUCAACAAAUAUUUAUUGAGCACCUCCCCUGUGCCAUGUACUAUUGUAGACACUGGGCUUACUGGAAUAAGCAAAACAGAAAAUUCCCGAACAUUCUACUGGGGUAUUGUUGGGAGAGUAUAAUCCUAUAUAAUAAAGGUGUAAUAUGCAAA
Long non-coding RNA from Myotis brandtii (Brandt's bat), 1969 nucleotides. RefSeq lists it as uncharacterized. Lineage: Eukaryota; Metazoa; Chordata; Mammalia; Chiroptera; Vespertilionidae. The record is from RefSeq and is a predicted model, not a curated record. The transcript is spliced from 4 exons.